UUGAGUCGGUUACACAGUAAGAUCAUCUUGUUAGAUUAUACAGAUGUACAGAUGUACAGGUACAGUUUGAGUCGGUUACACAGUAAGAUCAUCUUGUUAGAUUAUACAGAUGUACAGAUGUACAGGUACAGUUUGAGUCGGUUACACAGUAAGAUCAUCUUGUUAGAUUAUACAGGUGUACAGGUACAGUUUGAGUCGGUUACACAGUAAGAUCAUCUUGUUAGAUUAUACAGAUGUACAGGUACAGUUUGAGUCGGUUACACAGUAAGAUCAUCUUGUUAGAUUAUACAGAUGUACAGAUGUACAGGUACAGUUUGAGUCGGUUACACAGUAAGAUCAUCUUGUUAGAUUAUACAGAUGUACAGGUACAGUUUGAGUCGGUUACACAGUAAGAUCAUCUUGUUAGAUUAUACAGAUGUACAGAUGUACAGGUACAGUUGGAGUCGGUUACACAGUAAGAUCAUCUUGUUAGAUUAUACAGAUGUACAGAUGUACAGGUACAGUUUGAGUCGGUUACACAGUAAAUUCAUCUUGUUAGAUUAUACAGAUGUACAGAUGUACAGGUACAGUUUGAGUCGGUUAGACAGUAAGAUCAUCUUGUUAGAUUAUACAGAUGUACAGAUGUACAGGUACAGUUUGAGUCGGUUACACAGUAAGAUCAUCUUGUUAGAUUAUACAGAUGUACAGGUACAGUUUGAGUCGGUUACACAGUAAAUUCAUCUUGUUAGAUUAUACAGAUGUACAGAUGUACAGAUACAGUUUGAGUCGGUUACACAGUAAGAUCAUCUUGUUAGAUUAUACAGAUGUACAGAUGUACAGGUACAGUUUGAGUCGGUUACACAGUAAGAUCAUCUUGUUAGAUUAUACAGAUGUACAGGUACAGUUUGAGUCGGUUAGACAGUAAGAUCAUCUUGUUAGAUUAUACAGAUGUACAGGUACAGUUUGAGUCGGUUACACAGUAAGAUCAUCUUGUUAGAUUAUACAGAUGUACAGGUACAGUUUGAGUCGGUUACACAGUAAGAUCAUCUGGUUAGAUUAUACAGAUGUACAGGUACAGUUUGAGUCGGUUACACAGUAAGAUCAUCUUGUUAGAUUAUACAGAUGUACAGGUACAGUUUGAGUCGGUUAGACAGUAAGAUCAUCUUGUUAGAUUAUACAGAUGUACAGAUGUACAGGUACAGUUUGAGUCGGUUACACAGUAAGAUCAUCUUGUUAGAUUAUACAGAUGUACAGAUGUACAGGUACAGUUUGAGUCGGUUACACAGUAAGAUCAUCUUGUUAGAUUAUACAGAUGUACAGGUACAGUUUGAGUCGGUUACACAGUAAGAUCAUCUUGUUAGAUUAUACAGAUGUACAGAUGUACAGGUACAGUUGGAGUCGGUUACACAGUAAGAUCAUCUUGUUAGAUUAUACAGAUGUACAGAUGUACAGGUACAGUUUG
This 1441-nucleotide long non-coding RNA is filed under the name Gigantopelta aegis. RNAcentral describes it as "uncharacterized LOC121390653, transcript variant X3". Lineage: Eukaryota; Metazoa; Mollusca; Gastropoda; Neomphalida; Peltospiridae. The record is from RNAcentral.